CCCCCCCACCGGCCGCCGCCGCCAGAGGUGAGUCCUGGCGCAGCCGCCUGGCCUGGGAGGGCCGCCCCCGCCCGAGUCUGGCCACACUGCGCCAGGCCCUGCCUCCGUGGGGUCCCUGCCCACCUACGGGGGCCCGCGAUCAUCCUGGGGUCCCUCGCCCCCUCCCACAGGGUCCCUGCUCUUCCACGGGGGUCUGUGGUCAUCCUGGGGUUCCCUACUCCCACCCAUGGGGGUCUGCGGUCAUCCCAGGAUCCCUGGCACCCAACUAUCGGGGUCCCCUGCCCCCACUCACAGGGUCCCUGCUCUCUCACCGGUGUCCCUGCCAUCCGUGGGGACCCUGCCAUCCGUGGGGGCUUACAGUCAUCCUGGGGUCCCCCACUCCCAUCCACAGCAUCUCUGCCCUUCCGCAGGGCCCCCUGCCCCACUCACAGGGUCCCUGCCCACCCACCGGGGCCCCUGCCUUCCCACGGGGUCUGCGGUCAUCGUGGGGCCCCUCGCACCAUCGCCAAAGCCCUGAGGUCUCCUGGCAUCACAGGGUCAGGCCCGGCUUCUCCCCCAGGACUUUCUGUGACCUGAGGCGUGCACGCGCGCACACACGCGCACACACGUGCUUCCUGCUCACCUGGAUUCUGCACAGUGGGCAGCCCCCACCCCCGGGGUCCAGGCUGUGGUUUGGAGGACAUCGCUGAUGCUCUGGUCUGAGCCCCACCCCAGCCCUGUGGCCUGGCUCGCCCUCGUAAACAAGAAACAGGUCCCCAGAGGGGCCAUUACUCGGGGCUGGCGCAGACACCCAGGGAUCAGGGCCCCCGCGGAUGGCAGACAAGGUGGUCCCCCGGCAGGUGGCCCGGCUGGGCCGCACGGUGCGGCUGCAGUGCCCGGUGGAAGGGGACCCGCCACCCCUGACCAUGUGGACCAAGGAUGGCCGCACCAUCCACAGCGGCUGGAGCCGCUUCCGCGUGCUGCCCCAGGGGCUGAAGGUGAAGGAGGUGGAGGCCGCGGACGCAGGCGUGUAUGUGUGCAAGGCCACCAACGGCUUCGGCAGCCUCAGCCUCAACUACACGCUCGUCGUGAUGGGUCAGUCAGGGCAGCGGCCACUGGGCCCUCCCCGGGGCAGCGCCAGUAGGUGGGGGG
RNAcentral lists this long non-coding RNA (1131 nucleotides) under Oryctolagus cuniculus (rabbit). RNAcentral's name for it is "lncRNA (ENSOCUG00000027976.2)". The record is from RNAcentral. Lineage: Eukaryota; Metazoa; Chordata; Mammalia; Lagomorpha; Leporidae.